Non-coding RNA from Lolium perenne, 877 nucleotides. The record is from RefSeq and is a predicted model, not a curated record. NCBI's taxonomy places the organism in Eukaryota, Viridiplantae, Streptophyta, Magnoliopsida, Poales, Poaceae.
CACGCUGACAGGAGCGACAUCGCGCCGAGUUUUCGAAGCCAGCCAAGGCAUGGCGGCGGCGCGCCGACCUGGCCACCGCGCGACCUCGGGAGGAAGUUGGAGUGGCGGGUGGCGGCGAUGCUGUCGGCACUGAGACCAGACGGCGAGUAGGGAGCAGCGACCUGGUUUUCCUAGAUUGCAUCUACACGAUUCUCGCCGUGUCGCCGUGGUCGCCGUCGCUUCAGGGCAUGUGGGUUACCUCCAAUGCAGCGGUCCUACAAUAGUCUCUAUCUCAGGUUGCAGACGAGCAAGGAAGCGGAUGCGGGCACGAUGACGGGCUCCAUCCACAAAGUCCCUGUCGACACCUUCACCAUCCUCCCCCCGUCCUGAGUUGCUGCUUACCCCAAAAUCUUCCCCGCCGGAUCUCUCCCCUGCCGUGAGAGCCCCCUGGCCGGCGGCCGUGGCAUCGGUCGGGUCCUCCUCUGUCUCUGAGGCUCUCCUGCCGUCCCGUGCUCUGGCUUCUCCCAUACAUCUCCUCACCUGGACGGCGGUCUGCGACCUGCUGGUUGGUUCGCUAUGUGGGGACUGGAUGGCCAGCAGCGCCGCCGCCUGCUCUGAGUCUGGGGGCGCGGCGUUUUGUCAUUGUGUGGACCACCCGGACGACGACCAGGAGUCCAGGAUGCAUACAACUCUGUCGGCGAGGUGGUGUGCGAAAGACCCAUGGCUGAACCGGUGGGUACAUGUAUCACUGCUAGGACAAUUCAGAUAAUUCGCGUAGCUAAUACUUACUGGGAUAACGAUGGUCAAAGCAUUGAGGCCCAGCGAGUGGCAGAGCUCCUCAUGUGCUAUUUUCCUUUACAAUGUUUUACUAUCAAUGUGUGGAGAAUAAUUAUUUAUA